AACACCCCAUGUAGGGUACAAUCUCUUUUAAAUUUUUAGAGGAAGUUUUAGACCAGAUAUUAGGAGCAUUUCUUUACAGAACAGGUUGUUGGGCUUUGGAAUGGGCUGCCCAGGGAGGUGGUGGAGUCCCCAUCCCUGGAGGUG
Athene cunicularia (burrowing owl) is the source of this 144-nucleotide long non-coding RNA. RefSeq lists it as uncharacterized. The record is from RefSeq and is a predicted model, not a curated record. Lineage: Eukaryota; Metazoa; Chordata; Aves; Strigiformes; Strigidae. The transcript has 3 exons.